Long non-coding RNA from Pteropus alecto (black flying fox), 406 nucleotides. RefSeq lists it as uncharacterized. The transcript is spliced from 3 exons. Lineage: Eukaryota; Metazoa; Chordata; Mammalia; Chiroptera; Pteropodidae. The record is from RefSeq and is a predicted model, not a curated record.
CAGGGCCACUGGAUGAGAGUGACCCACAUAGGGCAUGUGACUGCCCCCGCAAGGCCAACUGCAUGGAGGAUCAGAGAAGCAAUAAAGAUCUCAACGAACAGAGGUCAUAACUAGGGGAGAAGAGGAUUGCAGAGAUGAGCAGGCUUGUCUGGUUAUUCUUCCCAAAUCUACAAAUUCAAUAAGUCACUUCCCUUCUCCAAGGAAAGACAAAAUGAGAAAAACAUCAAAGAGUUAUCAGAACUGUGCUUAUGGAAAAUCAUCAGGAACAGGUGAAUGUGACUAGAGGCACACCACACAUUCUGCCUUCCUUUUGGAAAGUACCAGGGUUGCAAUCUCUUCAGGGAUCUUCUGUGACAGUCAGCUCUGGAUAUCAAGAUUACAUACUAUUCUUUUCAUUAAAAUUUAG